This 253-nucleotide ribosomal RNA is filed under the name uncultured bacterium. RNAcentral's name for it is "partial 16S ribosomal RNA". It matches the Rfam family "Bacterial small subunit ribosomal RNA", at positions 524 to 776 of the family's 1533-position model. The record is from RNAcentral.
UACGUAGGUGGCAAGCGUUAUCCGGAAUUAUUGGGCGUAAAGCGCGCGCAGGCGGUUUCUUAAGUCUGAUGUGAAAGCCCACGGCUCAACCGUGGAGGGUCAUUGGAAACUGGGGGACUUGAGUGCAGAAGAGGAGAGUGGAAUUCCACGUGUAGCGGUGAAAUGCGUAGAGAUGUGGAGGAACACCAGUGGCGAAGGCGACUCUCUGGUCUGUAACUGACGCUGAGGCGCGAAAGCGUGGGGAGCAAACAGG